GACAACUGGCUCCCUCUACUGAAC
Molecule: non-coding RNA, 24 nt
Filed under: Callithrix jacchus (white-tufted-ear marmoset)
Lineage: Eukaryota; Metazoa; Chordata; Mammalia; Primates; Cebidae
Also listed under: 1 other name
Source: RNAcentral